RNAcentral lists this ribosomal RNA (523 nucleotides) under uncultured Actinomycetes bacterium. Its description in RNAcentral is "bacterial SSU rRNA". It matches the Rfam family "Bacterial small subunit ribosomal RNA", at positions 372 to 905 of the family's 1533-position model. The record is from RNAcentral. Lineage: Bacteria; Bacillati; Actinomycetota; Actinomycetes.
UGGGCGCAAGCCUGAUGCAGCAACGCCGCGUGAGGGACGACGGCCUUCGGGUUGUAAACCUCUUUUAGCAGGGAAGAAGCGAAAGUGACGGUACCUGCAGAAAAAGCACCGGCUAACUACGUGCCAGCAGCCGCGGUAAUACGUAGGGUGCAAGCGUUGUCCGGAAUUAUUGGGCGUAAAGAGCUCGUAGGCGGUUUGUCGCGUCUGCUGUGAAAAUCCGAGGCUCAACCUCGGACCUGCAGUGGGUACGGGCAAACUAGAGUGCGGUAGGGGAGAUUGGAAUUCCUGGUGUAGCGGUGGAAUGCGCAGAUAUCAGGAGGAACACCAAUGGCGAAGGCASAUCUCUGGGCCGUAACUGACGCUGAGGAGCGAAAGCGUGGGGAGCGAACAGGAUUAGAUACCCUGGUAGUCCACGCCGUAAACGGUGGGAACUAGAUGUGGGGUCCGUUCCACGGAUUCCGUGUCGCAGCUAACGCAUUAAGUUCCCCGCCUGGGGAGUACGGCCGCAAGGCUAAAACUCAAA